RNAcentral lists this ribosomal RNA (497 nucleotides) under uncultured bacterium. RNAcentral describes it as "partial 16S ribosomal RNA". It matches the Rfam family "Bacterial small subunit ribosomal RNA", at positions 28 to 507 of the family's 1533-position model. The record is from RNAcentral.
GAUGAACGCUGGCGGCGUGCCUAAUACAUGCAAGUCGAGCGAACAGAUGAGGAGCUUGCUCCUCUGACGUUAGCGGCGGACGGGUGAGUAACACGUGGAUAACCUACCUAUAAGACUGGGAUAACUUCGGGAAACCGGAGCUAAUACCGGAGAAUAUAGUGAACCGCAUGGUUCAAUAGUGAAAGACGGCUUUGCUGUCACUUAUAGAUGGAUCCGCGCCGCAUUAGCUAGUUUGUAAGGUAACGGCUUACCAAGGCAACGAUGAGUAGCCGACCUGAGGGGGUGGACGGCCACACUGGAACUGAGACACGGUCCAAACUCCUACGGGAGGCAGCAGUAGGGAAUCUUCCGCAAUGGGCGAAAGCCUGACGGAGCAACGCCGCGUGAGUGAUGAAGGUCUUCGGAUCGUAAAACUCUGUUAUUUGGGAAGAACAAAUGUGUAAGUAACUAUGCACGUCUUGACGGUACCUAAUCAAAAAGCCACGGCUAACUACGUG